Molecule: ribosomal RNA, 491 nt
Filed under: uncultured bacterium
Lineage: Bacteria
Description: bacterial SSU rRNA
Rfam family: Bacterial small subunit ribosomal RNA
Source: RNAcentral
GGCUCAGGAUGAACGCUAGCGGCAGGCUUAAUACAUGCAAGUCGUGGGGCAGCAUGAGUAGCAAUACUUGAUGGCGACCGGCAAACAGGUGAGGAACACGUACACAACCUUCCUUCAAGCGGGGAAUAGCCCAGAGAAAUUUGGAUUAAUACACAUAAUAUAUUUGAUAAGGCAUCUUAUUAAUAUUAAAGCUUCGGCACUUGAUGAUGGGUGUGCGGCUGAUUAGAUAGUUGGCGGGGUAACGGCCCACCAAGUCUACGAUCAGUAGCUGAUGUGAGAGCAUGAUCAGCCACACGGGCACUGAGACACGGGCCCGACUCCUACGGGAGGCAGCAGUAAGGAAUAUUGGACAAUGGACGAAAGUCUGAUCCAGCCAUGCCGCGUGAAGGAUUAAGGUCCUCUGGAUUGUAAACUUCUUUUAUAUGGGACGAAAAAAGGGCGUUCUUGUUCACUUGACGGUACCAUAUGAAUAAGCACCGGCUAACUCCGUG